UAACAUAAAAGGGGGAUAACUCUGUAAAGUCAGCUGAACGUUUUAAUUACGUUGUGUUGUAAAAGGAAUAUUAAGCUUCUCAAUGAUCAAAAUUGGUGUUUGUCAGACUGCUAUAUAACCAGUGUAAUUUUUCUGACAAAACGGUUGGUUCAAAAUUUUUGAAAUUUUUAUAUUUUUGUUAAAGGGUCAAAGUAAAUACUUUGACAAAAUUUUAUGAAAAUUAAACGAGCCAAAUUAAUU
RNAcentral lists this long non-coding RNA (240 nucleotides) under Mytilus galloprovincialis (Mediterranean mussel). Lineage: Eukaryota; Metazoa; Mollusca; Bivalvia; Mytilida; Mytilidae. The record is from RNAcentral.